CUUAGACAUAUAUAUAUACUAAAUUAUAUGUGACUUACCACUUCCAGGUUAUAUUAAUAUAAUUCCUCCUAUGGGACUAUGAUAGGAAUCUAAGUACCAAAAAUAAAUGAUAAAUAUUCUCACUCUUAUUAUAAACUAUUCAGUUGUUUGAAGAGUAAAUUUAAUUACAGUGCUUUUCUGGAGAAGGAUUCAAAGAAGAGAUACAAUCUGGAAAUUAUGUUCACAUGCUAAAAUCUUUCACUUUUAAUCACAUACAUAAAAAUCAUGAUGUAGAUAGUACAGAUAAUUUAAUUAGAAUAUUCUUUUAUGUCAGAGAAGGUUCAUUUUCUAUUUUUUUAAAAACAGAAAAAAUAUUUCAUAAAAAUUCUAAUUGAAAAUGUUGUACUCUAAAUGAAAAGAUGUUUUAGGAAAUCUCCCAAUGAAAGGAACCUAAAAUUUGCCACAACCAACUGUUGCUUCAAAUUGUACACUAACAAAAGCUGCAGUUUUAUCAUUUUGCCCAUAAGAGGCACAGGGGAUUAAUUGAAAUUAAAAGAGGAAAGCAAAAGAAAUGCCCUCUGGAGACUGCUUUCAGAAAGGACAUACCAAUUAAGUUUAAAAAAAGAAAGAAAAAAGUAAAGAAAGGAAAAAGAAGAAACAGAAAGCAAAGAAUUAAAGAAAAAUCAAGCAGAAAAACCCUGUGAAAUGCUUUAACUACAAAACUGAUGGGAUAUUCUCUUAGAACAAGAAAUGAUUUAAACUUGACAUAUUUAAAAUAUUUAAUGCCAACAAGAAUUUCAGAUAUUCCUCUGCCAUGGGACAAAGUGAUGAGUUCUACUGGUGAGAAAGUUUACCUAAAACGGAAACCCCUCUCUUGUUUCCAUUAGGCAGUAAAUUGGAAUUUCAUUAACUGGAUUAUGACUCUUAUUUACUUUUAUUUUGAAACAAUAUAACACAUAAAGAAAAAUACAUAACAAGGAUCUUUUAUUCCUAAGCCACUUGUUGCUCCAUCUGCCAUUCCAUAUACUUAUGUGUAUUUAUAAAAAAAGAAUAUUCUACUAGCUAAGCGCAAUAAAAACAUUACUGUCAAGAUGUUAAUUAUGAUAUGUUAUUAACACCAAAUCCUCCAAUCUUAUCCAAAUGUAGAAUAUUUUCCCUUUAUAGAAAAAAAGAAUAUAGUUUAAUUUAGAACUGCAUGUUUUGUCUAAUUUUUAUAUUUUAGUAUCCUUUUAUUUGGAAUAGUUUCCUAGUCUUCUGUUAACUUUCAAGAAUGUUGUUUGGAAAUCAUUUCCCAGUAAUUAUAUAUUAUGUCCUUCAAUUUUUGUCUAAAGUUUCUGCAUGACUCUAUUCAAUUUAUGAACCUUUGGCAGAAAUGUCAUAGAAGCGAUGAUACCUUCUCAUUGGAUCCUAUCAGAUAUUGUGCUAUUUCAUAAUGUUCCCAUUAUUUAUGAUGAUGAGACUUUAUUUCUUGAUUAAUAUAGCUAUUUAUAAGACUGUCCACCAUAGAGCUACUCUUCUACCUUUAAAAUUAGGACCUCUUUGAGCUCCUGUCAUGGUGCAGUGGAAAUGAACCUGACUAGAAUCCAUGAUGAUGGAGGUUCAAUGCCUGGCUUUUCUUGGUGGGUUGGGGGUCUGGUGUUGCUCUCCAGCAGCUAUAGCUCCAAUUCAACCCCUAGCAUGGAAACUUCCAUAUACCAGGGCAUAGCUCUAAAAACCAAAAAAAUAAAAAAUAAAUAAAAAUAGUAACUAUUUUGUGUAGGUACGUUAAAUACUACAUAAAUAGCUCAACCAUUGAAAAACUUCAAGUUUAUAGAUAAUUUACAUCAUUACACAUUUAUGUCUUCCAAUUUUACUCAUUAUUAUUAUUACUUAUUUUAAUGCUCAAUUGCCCCAGAGUUGGCCAGUAUAAGUCACUUCAAGAUAUUUUUUUUUGUCCUUUUAUCAUACCCCCUCAAUUUUUAAAGGCUUCUUUAUUUUCUGGCACCAGAAAUUGCUGUGAUAUCAUCUUGUACCUUUUCUGUACCAACCUUGGCAUAAGCCAUUUCUUGAAGGGGUCUUAGUUGUGUUUAGUGAAGAAAAUUAUUUUGAAGGGAAGAUCUAGGUUCUAUGGAUGCUCUAUGCACUCAUUCGUACACAGAAUCAAUGUUCCCAGGCCCUCACAGUGGACAGAUUAACAGAGUCCCACAUACUCACACCCAUAUAUAUACACACAAACACAGAUACACACAAUAUAUAUUCAUACUUAUAUUCGUUUUUAUAAUCUCUCACUAGAUGUUGAAUAACAUGAACAAGCACUGGUACAUUAAUCCAGCACCAUAGAGCUUAUUCCAUUGUAUUUAUUUGAUGUGCAAUUGAAGAAAAUGUGGCUUAAGAUCAUGACCAUUCCUCCAGAAAUGUUUAACUUUUGAGUUUGCCAGGUACCACAUGCCUUUAGUAAUCCAGGAUAACCUCAGUCCAAAUGCACAUGUUGAGACGAUUUGAAGCUGAACUACCUAGUACCU
Molecule: long non-coding RNA, 2480 nt
Filed under: Sus scrofa (pig)
Lineage: Eukaryota; Metazoa; Chordata; Mammalia; Artiodactyla; Suidae
Description: lncRNA (ENSSSCG00040068463.1)
Source: RNAcentral